RNAcentral lists this ribosomal RNA (433 nucleotides) under uncultured bacterium. RNAcentral describes it as "partial 16S ribosomal RNA". It matches the Rfam family "Bacterial small subunit ribosomal RNA", at positions 29 to 507 of the family's 1533-position model. The record is from RNAcentral.
AACGAACGCUGGCGUCAUGCCUAACACAUGCAAGUCGAACGAGACCUUCGGGUCUAGUGGCGCACGGGUGCGUAACGCGUGGGAACCUGCCCUUAGGUUCGGAAUAACUCCCCGAAAGGGGUGCUAAUACCGGAUAAUGUCUUCGGACCAAAGAUUUAUCGCCUUUGGAUGGGCCCGCGUUGGAUUAGCUAGUUGGUAGGGUAAAAGCCUACCAAGGCGACGAUCCAUAGCUGGUCUGAGAGGAUGAUCAGCCACACUGGGACUGAGACACGGCCCAGACUCCUACGGGAGGCAGCAGUGGGGAAUAUUGGACAAUGGGCGAAAGCCUGAUCCAGCAAUGCCGCGUGAGUGAUGAAGGCCUUAGGGUUGUAAAGCUCUUUUACCCGGGAUGAUAAUGACAGUACCGGGAGAAUAAGCUCCGGCUAACUCCGUG